Molecule: non-coding RNA, 211 nt
Filed under: Caminicella sporogenes DSM 14501
Lineage: Bacteria; Bacillati; Bacillota; Clostridia; Peptostreptococcales; Caminicellaceae
Description: Bacterial small subunit ribosomal RNA
Rfam family: Bacterial small subunit ribosomal RNA
Source: Rfam by way of RNAcentral
UAUUUUGAGAGUUUGAUCCUGGCUCAGGAUGAACGCUGGCGGCGUGCCUAACACAUGCAAGUCGAGCGGAGCUUUAAUCUUUACAGCUUAGCUGAAAAGAUUAAAGCUUAGCGGCGGACGGGUGAGUAACGCGUGGGCAACCUGCCCUGUGCAGGGGGAUAACACAACGAAAGGUGUGCUAAUACCCCAUAAGACUACGAUGUCGCAUGGC